RNAcentral lists this ribosomal RNA (492 nucleotides) under uncultured bacterium. RNAcentral describes it as "partial 16S ribosomal RNA". It matches the Rfam family "Bacterial small subunit ribosomal RNA", at positions 29 to 507 of the family's 1533-position model. The record is from RNAcentral.
AGUGAACGCUGGCGGUAGGCCUAACACAUGCAAGUCGAACGGCAGCACAGUAAGAGCUUGCUCUUACGGGUGGCGAGUGGCGGACGGGUGAGGAAUACAUCGGAAUCUACUUUUUCGUGGGGGAUAACGUAGGGAAACUUACGCUAAUACGGCAUACGACCUACGGGUGAAAGCAGGGGAUCUUCGGACCUUGCGCGAUUGAAUGAGCCGAUGUCGGAUUAGCUAGUUGGCGGGGUAAAGGCCCACCAAGGCGACGAUCCGUAGCUGGUCUGAGAGGAUGAUCAGCCACACUGGAACUGAGAAACGGUCCAGACUCCGACGGGGGGCAGCAGUGGGGAAUAUUGGACAAUGGGCGCAAGCCUGAUCCAGCCAUACCGCGUGGGUGAAGAAGGCCUUCGGGUUGUAAAGCCCUUUUGUUGUGAAAGAAAAGCAGCAGGUUAAUACCCCGCUGUUCUGACGGUACCCAAAGAAUAAGCACCGGCUAACUUCGUG